UACGUAGGUGGCAAGCGUUAUCCGGAAUCAUUGGGCGUAAAGCGCGCGCAGGUGGUUUCUUAAGUCUGAUGUGAAAGCCCACGGCUCAACCGUGGAGGGUCAUUGGAAACUGGGAGACUUGAGUGCAGAAGAGGAAAGUGGAAUUCCAUGUGUAGCGGUGAAAUGCGUAGAGAUAUGGAGGAACACCAGUGGCGAAGGCGACUUUCUGGUCUGUAACUGACACUGAGGCGCGAAAGCGUGGGGAGCAAACAGG
Molecule: ribosomal RNA, 253 nt
Filed under: uncultured bacterium
Lineage: Bacteria
Description: partial 16S ribosomal RNA
Rfam family: Bacterial small subunit ribosomal RNA
Source: RNAcentral